GGGAAGACGAGUGGGGUCUGGGGGAAUGUGCCAUCAUAUUUUUCUCUAACAUGUUUAUAGUAAUCAAUGCCAAUAAAACUGAUAUUUCAGAAACCUACAAACACAAAUGAUGAAAAGCAGAAUCAAAUGAUAAAAGCACAAACCUUUUUAGAUGUAAGAUAGAUUUUUAUGAUGGUUUAUUUACCCCUUCUAAAGAGACCAAUAAAUUAUACCUUCCCUUUCUGAAUU
RNAcentral lists this unclassified non-coding RNA (228 nucleotides) under Hevea brasiliensis (rubber tree). Lineage: Eukaryota; Viridiplantae; Streptophyta; Magnoliopsida; Malpighiales; Euphorbiaceae. The record is from RNAcentral.